RNAcentral lists this ribosomal RNA (253 nucleotides) under uncultured bacterium. RNAcentral's name for it is "partial 16S ribosomal RNA". It matches the Rfam family "Bacterial small subunit ribosomal RNA", at positions 524 to 776 of the family's 1533-position model. The record is from RNAcentral.
UACGUAGGGACCGAGCGUUGUCCGGAUUCAUUGGGCGUAAAGAGCUCGUAGGCGGCUGCUCAAGUCGAAUGUGAAAACUCGAGGCUCAACCUCGAGCCUGCAUUCGAUACUGGGCGGCUAGAGUCUGGUAGGGGGAUCUGGAAUCCCUGGUGUAGCGGUGGAAUGCGCAGAUAUCAGGAGGAACACCGGUGGCGAAGGCGGGAUCCUGGGCCAGUACUGACGCUGAGGAGCGAAAGCGUGGGGAGCAAACAGG